Molecule: non-coding RNA, 3277 nt
Organism: Doryrhamphus excisus (bluestripe pipefish)
Lineage: Eukaryota; Metazoa; Chordata; Actinopteri; Syngnathiformes; Syngnathidae
Source: RefSeq, a predicted model, not a curated record
CAGUACGUCAUCUUGGAAGGCAAGUUCUAACAAUAAAAUUGUGCUGCCCUUAAUAUGUUAAUAUAUGUUUGGCUGUUGGUUUGGCGACACCUAGUGUACGCAAUAAUCCACUGCAUUUUUUUUUGUCUGCUGUUCACCUGGAUCCCUCGCCACAAAAACGCUGUUACUUGUCGUUAUGGAAUACGAUCCAUUACGCGUCUUCCCUGGAGUCUAUAUGUCUGCAGAUGAGCUAAAGGCACAAGAAGACCUCGUGAUGCAAUGACUGAAAUCAGCGCCAUCUACAGCUACUAGAUCUACAUUACCUCGUCCGUCCCGCAGCACCACUUCCUUGUCGUCCACCAGCCAGCGGUAGCACGGGAACUCCACGUUGUCGCCGGCCGGAGUCUUGACAGAGAUGUACCUGCAGUACCAGUCGUCGUGCACCCAGUACUUCCUCUUCUCCAGCUUGACCAGCACCAGCUCACCCAGGUCCUCCUCCACGCUCACCAGGGCGCCAUUCCGAUGAGGGUCGGCGUCAGUCCCCUGUAGAAUCCCAAGAAUCCACCCUCCUUUGCCACACGAUGGGAAAAAAACAAAGUGUGAAUAUCAAACACCAUCAUUCAUCAGCAUGACCAAUAGCAGCUCACGUUGGUAUAGAUGCUGUGGAAGGCGUUGGCAAUUCCAGUGUAGCGGUGCUCCCCUGUCACCUGAAAGGCCAGCCUGGCUCGAACCAUGUCCAGCGGAUAGGUGCAAAUCACUGCCGUCAUCCCUGACAACACACAUGCACAGAUGCUUUAUGACCAAUUUCUGUUAUUUGGAUUGACAUCAUCAAUUCCAUUCAUAAGCUACCUGCCAUGGAGCCGGCCAUGAGGCGGUGAAUGUGUCCGGUGAGCCCAAGCCGUGUAUUUAGCAUCUGGAAGUAACGAAGUACAAGUGCAGGUUUCAUCAACACACACAAAACUAGUCCAAAAUGGACUCCGCAAUAGAAGAAGUGCCUUACCUUUUUAUAAUUUUCAAAGGCCAUGAACUGGAUUGCGCCAUAAGGAAAUAUCCUCACCAUCAUUGCCCCAUUGCCUUUGUACAAGCCGAGGUAGCCUUCCUUUUUUGGCACAGCUUUGAGAGUGGAAAACACCCCUAAACAGGAAAAAAAGUCAGAAUCUUAUUCCUCAAACUCAUGAGAUGGAUGGAUGGACUUCCUUUGUCAUUGCACAAUAACAGCAGUGAAAUUGCCAACAAUAUGCCGUUGCAUGGCUCCCGUGUAAUAAUAAUAAUAAUAAUAAUACUAAAAGUAAAAAGUAUUUUACCAAGGUGUUUGUAGUGAGGAUUCUGGGCCUGGAGGAGAAUCUUCACCCUGUCCAGAGGAGCAAUUGUAGUCUUGGCACAGCAUCCUGCAACACCUACGACACCAAAACAACCAUUUUAGCGUUACUUAAAAAAAAAAGUACCAUGAAAAAUAGAUAAAAAACAUCGCAAUCUACUAAUAUCCAAUCCACUUUAUUUAUAUAGCACAUUUUAUGAACAGAGUUUCCAAAGUGCUGCACAGACUAGUAAAAAUAAAAAGUAAUAAUCCAAAACUAAAAGAUCAUUUAAGAAGUAAAAUAGAUAUUAAAGUAUUAAAAACAAGAAACAAAAAGUAUAAAAAAUAAAACCAAUUACAAUAAAAACGAAGAACUAAAAGACACAGGACCAUACGACUCACUAAGAGUUAAAAGCCAGAGAAUAAAAGUGGGUUUUAAGACGAGACUUAAAGCUUUAAAAGCCUUUAAGCUAAUAUAAUUUCUAUUGUUACAGUCUCCAAGCCUCCACCCACCAAGAUGAAGAGACUGUAUGACUGACAAAAGGGCUCACUCUGUUCAUGCCAUUGUUCUAUGGAAAAAUGGGCCAAUUUUCUGAAACCAAUGUUCUUCCAGCCUGUUGUUCCUGGAGGCAACAAACAAGCAAAACAUACCCGCAUGCACAUCAUAUAUUGAGGCUGGCAAAAUGAUCCACUUCAUUUUCAGUUAUUGUGAGAUGAAUUAUUCAUUUUCUAUGCUGCUUUUCCUCCCUACGUCUUUGGGGCGAGAGGAGGGGUACACCCAGGACUGGUGGCCAGCCAAUCACAGGGCUUUGUUAUUGAUUGUUAGCUUUUCUAGUAAGACGUUUGAUUUGUUUUCACAUAAAUUAACUUUUGACGUUAUUGUCGGUUCUGCUCUACAGAAUUGUCUUACAUCAGUAAGAGCGCUUCAUCAAUGCCGAGUUGGCAUACACUCCUGGUGUGAUGAAAUUCUGACAAAAACGUUGAAUUUUCAAAAAUACUUCAUUGUACAGGCUGCACAGCGGUCCAGUGGUUAGCGCGCAGACCUCACAGCUAGGAGACCUGAGUUCAAUUCCACACUCGGCCAUCUCUGUGUGGAGUUUGCAUGUUCUCCCCGUGCAUGCGUGGGUUUUCUCCGGGUACUCCGAUUUCCUCCCACAUUCCAAAAACAUGCUAGGUUAAUUGGAGACUCCAAAUUGUCCAUAGGUAUGAAUGUGAGUGUGAAUGGUUGUUUGUCUAUAUGUGCCCUGUGAUUGGCUGGGCACCAGUCCAGGGUGUACCCCGCCUCUCGCCCAAAACACUCAGUUUCAGAGGGCGUUUCUAAAACUGUACUUUUGUGAUGUCACAGAAGGCUGGGCUUCCUUAUGGGCGUGUCUGUAAGCCAGAUAUGCUCUCUGCCCUCCCCCAAGCUCUGCGUCGUCUGUUUACAAGGCAAGCUAAAGCAGAAGUUAUUGGGCUUGGUGAUUCCCAGCAAGAGAAAAUAUUUUCAUCUGUCAACGGCAUGUUUUUGUAAACAUGAAUGUGAAAUAUCCACCAAACUGUUGCGGAAUCCAGAAGCAGCAAAUAAAAGAGCACAAUAGGUCCCAUUUAAAUAUUUAUGUCAGCCAUCUUGGUCUGUUCCCUGUGAAUGAGUGUUUUCAAAGGCAGGGGAACUGCAUUGCUUUGGAGCAAAGACACUUCAAAAACUUUCGUUUCGCAAUAAAACACUUUAAAUCAAUAUUGUGUGUGUUUUUUCAUAUGACUUGGUGAACAAAUUUUUCAGACAAAUUUGCCAUAUUUUACAUUACAACUCAUUUGACCAUUUACACGAAGCUUAAACAACUUCACACAGCAACAAAUGAAAUCAUAAAAAGAUGAGGUCUUAUCUGAAGUAAAAGUUGAAUAAUAAAGAUGAGAAAAUAUUCAAUAUUUCACAGGCUAAUGUUGCGUUUACAGCAUGCAAGCUUUUCCGUCCUAUUGUCAUGUAACUGCAAUGAUUUUAUAUCUACAGCAGAGGUCGCUCUU